UACGUAGGGUGCAGGCGUUAAUCGGAAUUACUGGGCGUAAAGCGUGCGCAGGCGGCUUGCUAAGACAGGUGUGAAAUCCCCGGGCUUAACCUGGGAACUGCGCUUGUAACUGGCAAGCUGGAGUGUGGCAGAGGGGGGUGGAAUUCCACGUGUAGCAGUGAAAUGCGUAGAGAUGUGGAGGAACACCGAUGGCGAAGGCAGCCCCCUGGGCUAACACUGACGCUCAUGCACGAAAGCGUGGGGAGCAAACAGG
RNAcentral lists this ribosomal RNA (253 nucleotides) under uncultured bacterium. RNAcentral's name for it is "partial 16S ribosomal RNA". It matches the Rfam family "Bacterial small subunit ribosomal RNA", at positions 524 to 776 of the family's 1533-position model. The record is from RNAcentral.